GAUGAAGAACGUAGCGAAAUGCGAUAAGUAAUGCGAAUUGCAGAAUUCUGUGAGUCAUCGAAUCUUUGAACGCACAUUGCGCCCUGUGGUAUUCCGCAGGGCAUGCCUGUUCGAGCGUCAUUUCAACCCUCAAGCCUCGCUUGGUGUUGGGCCCUGCCCGCCGCGGCCGGCCCUAAAGAUAGUGGCGGCGCCGCCUGGCCCUCAGCGUAGUACAGCUCUCGCUCCAGGGUCCGGCGGCAGCCUGCCAGAACCCCCCAACUCUGUGGUUGACCUCGGAUCAGGUAGGGAUACCCGCUGAACUUAAGCAUAUCAAUAAGCGGAGGA
Molecule: unclassified non-coding RNA, 324 nt
Filed under: soil metagenome
Description: partial contains 5.8S ribosomal RNA, internal transcribed spacer 2, and large subunit ribosomal RNA
Rfam family: 5.8S ribosomal RNA (bases 1-120)
Source: RNAcentral